UACGUAGGGUGCGAGCGUUAAUCGGAAUUACUGGGCGUAAAGCGUGCGCAGGCGGCUUUGCAAGACAGAUGUGAAAUCCCCGGGCUUAACCUGGGAACUGCAUUUGUGACUGCAUGGCUGGAGUGCGGCAGAGGGGAUGGAAUUCCGCGUGUAGCAGUGAAAUGCGUAGAUAUGCGGAGGAACACCGAUGGCGAAGGCAAUCCCCUGGGCCUGCACUGACGCUCAUGCACGAAAGCGUGGGGAGCAAACAGG
Molecule: ribosomal RNA, 252 nt
Filed under: uncultured bacterium
Lineage: Bacteria
Description: partial 16S ribosomal RNA
Rfam family: Bacterial small subunit ribosomal RNA
Source: RNAcentral